Molecule: long non-coding RNA, 866 nt
Organism: Thalassophryne amazonica
Lineage: Eukaryota; Metazoa; Chordata; Actinopteri; Batrachoidiformes; Batrachoididae
Exons: 2
Source: RefSeq, a predicted model, not a curated record
AAAAAAAAAAAGCCUCUGUGGCCACAUUAAGUUUAGAGGAUCUUUUCUGAGGAAAAUCUCCAAACUGGCUUUUCUGGCAGAGUCAAGGUGCCCCGGUGAAGGCGCGCCUCCUUAAACAGAAAAAAAAAAAAAAACGAAAUAAAUAAUAAUUCACGCACAAUGACAAGCUGGCAUCUGCUCUCCAUCUGACAACAGCUUAGUAUUCUCCACAGGUACCCCACUCUCUCCCUCAAAGCAACAGCCAAUAUUUUCUCUCUCUUUUUUUAAACCCUCUAUGCACACCACUCUUUCCCAUCCCUAUGCGGCUUUUUUCCCUUCUCCUUCUAUUUUUUUUUUUUUUUGAGCCAGCUCACACGAACAACAUCGGAACUGAACAGCGGCUUCAUAAAAUAUGCAGAAUGAAUUCAAGCGUCGACAGCAGAAAGAAUCAAGUUGAGAUGGAAAAAACAGGACGAACGACGCUGCGUUUUACAGUCCAACAUUUUGCCUCGGCCACCAAUUAAUGCGCCACUUGCGCUCGCAGGCGGAUAGAUCCUGACAAGGCGCUCCGCCUGAUCAUCGCUUGUGUUUCAGCUGCUGUGCUGCUUUUUGGGAAGGAAGGAAGGAGGGGAAAAAAGGUGGCAGACUAUACAACACGCAACUUCUCAUUUCCAGAAUAUUUAGUGCAGCGCAUAUCGUCCAAAGCCAAUAAAUCCCCGUAGCGCAUUAAAUCCCGUCCCUCUACUGAAGAGGAAGAAUAAUAAAGGGAAAUUUUAAAGGUCCCUGUAAGAGGUGUUUCAUAAAACACGUGACUCCCGUUAUUCCUUGAUGGAAAAAAAAAUGAUGCAUUUAAUCCAUAAGCAGUGGGAGACACCAUAUGGAUGCGC